GUGGUGGUACAUCAUUGUGGCUGUAGGUUUAGCAGCACUCUUACUAACUGUUGUUGUGGUUGUCAUCAGACGGAAGAAAACUACAGGGAACAACAUACAGAUGGAUGAAAACACUGAUGAUCCUGAAGGUGGUGUUUCCUACGCCUCCAUCAGCUACACAAGGAAGACCGACAGUAAAACCCGGGUUCGGGGCAAAGAUGAUGCUGAUGAAGAUGAUGCAGUGACCUAUAGCACUGUAAAAGCUUCCUCCUCUUCUGCUGCAGCCUCCACUGAUCCCAGUAGCCUCUACGCUACCGCCUAACCAAACAAACCAAACUCACGUCAUCACAUGAUUCAUUUUUUAUGAUCAGUUUCAGAAUGUUUUGCUGUAAAAAAGCUGUUUAUCCAGAAGGGGUGUCUAAGUUAAGUAGUAGCAAAAUGUAAAAAAGGAGAAGUAAUAAUGCAAAAUUCUUGAAAUAUAAAUUAGCAUAAGAUAUGUUACAUUUUACUUGAUGAACCUGCUAUCAAACGCUUAUUGUGCUCAGUGACGGAUGUGGUAGCAUUGUAGUUCAAGUUUUAAAAUCUUGUUUUCAUUUUUA
Long non-coding RNA from Thunnus maccoyii (southern bluefin tuna), 578 nucleotides. RefSeq lists it as uncharacterized. The record is from RefSeq and is a predicted model, not a curated record. The transcript has 4 exons. Lineage: Eukaryota; Metazoa; Chordata; Actinopteri; Scombriformes; Scombridae.